Humulus lupulus (European hop) is the source of this 3142-nucleotide long non-coding RNA. RefSeq lists it as uncharacterized. NCBI's taxonomy places the organism in Eukaryota, Viridiplantae, Streptophyta, Magnoliopsida, Rosales, Cannabaceae. The transcript has 3 exons. The record is from RefSeq and is a predicted model, not a curated record.
AUAGUAUCUUUUUUGUCUCUUUCUCUUUCUUUACUUUUCCAAAGCAUUUCUCCUUCACUUGUUUACUUUUUUUUUUUUAAUAUUUGAGUUUCUUUUCUUUCUUAACUCUUCAUGUGCCAUUUUUCACUUUAUAGAGUCUUCGUUAGAAAACUUAAUUAUUCAAGUUUCUAGAGUUCUUUGAGUUUCUUCUCUCUUUCAAAUAAGUUUGCCAUUGAUUAUUGAAAGGGUGGUGCGGUUGCUGACUUAGGUGACUCGAAUGAAGCCGAGAAUCAAGAGUCUGCCGAGUCUAAAGGGAAAGCAUUGAAGAGUAAACCUUCUCCAUUGUCUAAAGGCAAAUCUAUUAUGAAGGAAUCAUCGUAUUCUUCUGUUCCUGAUGUGAACAAUGGUGAUGUUGCUGGUUUAAAUGAGUUGAAGGAGGCCGACAUGCACGAGAGUGCUGAGUCUAAGGAGAAACCAUUGACGAGAAAAUCUGCUCCAUUGUCUAAGAGCAAAGCAAGUGUAAAGAAAACAAAGAAACUAACGAUUGGAGGCUUUAGUCGAGUAAAGUGCAAGACUAACAAUAAAAAUUUGAAGAAGAAUGCUAGUUCACUGGCUAAACGGAAGGUAUUUUUUGUUGUUUCAUUUAAUUUUUUUCAUGUGAUUUUGUUUUGAAGAUGGUUUUUAUGGUUAUAUGUUAUAAUAUUUUUAAUUAUUUGCCCAAAUUUGCUUGUUAUUAUUGUAUAUAAUAUAUGUACAUUGUGCUUCAGAAUUGUUUACAUGUUUUAUUGCUCUGUUAAAAUUUGUUUCAUUUUUUAAAAUUUAAUUGCUCAAGUUGGAAAAUAAUGGUUUUAUUAUAUACAUACCAUGGACUGUUUGUUUAGAUGUUGUUAAUAUGUGUUAUGUUUAUGUAACGAUACGUUACAAGGUUGUUAACGUUGUUACCGAUGUUGUAAACAUGUGUUUGUUUUAUGUAAAUAUAUGUUACAGGUCCUAAGUUUGUAGUUUAUACUUUAUAGGUCCCAUCUGCUUGAAAUAUGUUUUCAAUUUUGUUGAUGUUCUGUUAUGAGUUAUGUACAUAGUGAUUUUAUAGAAUAUAAGUUCAGUAUGUUUAAGGGAUUUUUACAUGUUUUAUUGCUCUUUUAAUAGCUGUUACAAUUUUUGUUUAUUUUAGUUGAAGAUAAUGGUUCUAUUCUAUACAUACCAGGUUAUAUUUGUUUAGAUAUUGCUAACAUGUGUUAUGUUUUUGUAAAUAUAUAUUAUAGGGUUGUUAAUGUCCUUGAUCUAAUAUUAUGUAGAUGUGGAUUAUAUGUUACAAUUUUGGUGAUAUAUUUUAUUGCUCUGUAAAAUUAUGUUACAAGUUUGUUAAUGUGGGUUGUACAUUAUUCUAUGCAACUUAUGGAGUGUUUUAUCAAACAUCAAGAUCAUUAUAGAGCAAGAGUCAAUUUUUAUUCUUCUUUUGAGAAGAUCAAUGUGAUCUCUAAAAAAUUGAUUGAGCCCCUAAAGGAUUUGUUUAGUAAGACUUGUUUUGGUCAUUUUCUAAACAUUAAAUCCUAUGCUAAUCAAGCUAAGCUAAACUGGUUCACCGUGUAUUGUUGACGGAAGUUAACCAUCCAAAAUUAAAUGAAAUGCAAUUUAAAGUUUGUUGAAAGCUGAUUAGGAUUUCAUUGGGUGAAUUUGGGUUAUUUACUGGGUUAAAUGUGUUUGGUUAGAUUGAUAGGGUGGAAUUAAGAACAGUAAUCCUAUUGGAAUGUAUUCUAAAUUUUUUGGUGACCAUACAAGGGGCAUUUCAAGAAUAAUUGUUGAAGAAAGGUUUAAGGCUGCCAAUUUUGAUAAUGAUGAUGAGGCUGUUAGGAUGGUUGUACUUAACCUCAUCACUAACUUUUUGUAUGCUUGCAAAAAGAGAAGAACAUUGAAAAAUAUGUCUUGUAUCUUUGUGUAGUGGUGGGUUUAAUCAUUUUCUAUGGGGUAAGGAUAUUUUUAUUGUGAAUCUCUCAUCAUUGAGAGAUGCUUUAAGGGAAAAUGAAGUUAUUAUUACUAGAAAAUGUUUUUACCCAGCCUAUAAGUUGAAUGGAUUGUCAUUUGCUUUCCAAGUUUUCAUUUAUGAAUCAAUUCCUAGUUUAGUGGGAACUUUAUUGUGAGAAGGUUAGUUGUGGUCUGCCUACGAUUAUAAAUUGGUCAUCUGAUGCAAUUCCAUCUCAUAAGGAGCUUGAGAGGAAUGUGUUUUCAUUACAUAAGAUCGAAAUUGUUAAUGUUUUACCCACUGAUGAAGAGAAUAAUGCCUUCAAGCUUGAAGGUUUUUUCCAUUCAAGCUUGAAGGUUUUUUCUAGUGUGACAAGGAUUUUAAUGUUGUUGACGUUGAAGAAGAUGAUUUUGUUGCUCCUCCAAAGAAACCAACAAGUGAGGCUCCUUCAUCAUCUUAUGUUCCUUGUGUGACAUUUGACUUUUCUGAUCUUAAAAUUAUUUCGGAUGACUGUCAAAAGAAGUGUAACAAUAUGUCUAAGGAAAUUGUAAUGUUAAAGUCUACUAGUGAAUCUAGACAUGACGCAUUGAUGGAGAUGUUGGUUAAUUUGAAAAAUGAUCAAGAUAGAAGAUACACGGCUGUCAUGGAAAUCUUAGGUGAGCUGAGGCAGAAAUCAUGUGUUAUUAAUGAUGAUAUUGAUCAUGUUUAUGGUGGUUUUGUGAGAGCUGACUGUUAUGGUGGAAUGAGUGGCAAUGAGGCUGAUGUGAAUGGUUUAUUUGGGAGGAAGGAUGAUGUUGGUGAUGCUUCUGGUGGUGGUGUUGUUUUAAAGAAGAAUGACAAGAUUUUUGAGAAUGAAAGUUUUACCCAAGUUUUGAUGAGUGCAUUCAACCAAUGCAAUAAGAUGCUGCUGGAGAUACGAUAAUUGAAGAUGACAAAAAUGAUGCAACAAAUAAGAAUGAGGAUACUACUUGGAAUGAUAUUGAAGAAACAAAGGGUAUCACUAAAAAACUGAAUUGAUCUUCAAAUUUCUUCACAGUCUUCCAAAGUAUCCUUAGAAACACCUAGACUAGAGUGGGCAAUUCUCAACACAUGAGAUAAAUACAAAGAGAAUAAGAGAAUAGAAUAUUGAGGCUUAGAAAAGGACUUUUGCUGUAGAGAGAGUCUAAAACCUUAAUGCAUCAAAAGUAGAUCUUCUGAUUUCAA